UUUCCGUAGGUGAACCUGCGGAAGGAUCAUUCAUAAUAAGUGUUUUAUGGCACUUUUUUAAAUCCAUAUCCACCUUGUGUGCAAUGUCAGGGUUGACUUUUCUCUCGAGAGGAUCAACCCCAAACAUCAACUAUAUCUCAACUCUUUGUCUGAAAAAUAUUAUGAAUAAAACAAUUCAAAAUACAACUUUCAACAACGGAUCUCUUGGCUCUC
This 213-nucleotide unclassified non-coding RNA is filed under the name plant metagenome. Its description in RNAcentral is "partial contains small subunit ribosomal RNA, internal transcribed spacer 1, and 5.8S ribosomal RNA". The record is from RNAcentral.